RNAcentral lists this ribosomal RNA (46 nucleotides) under Inocybe tumidula. Its description in RNAcentral is "partial large subunit ribosomal RNA". The record is from RNAcentral. Lineage: Eukaryota; Fungi; Basidiomycota; Agaricomycetes; Agaricales; Inocybaceae.
UUGAUCUCAAAUCAGGUAGGAUUACCCGCUGAACUUAAGCAUAUCA